GCCAGGCAUGGUGGUGCACACCUGUAAUCCCAGCUACUUGGAGGCUGAGACAGGAUAACCGCUUGAACUCAGGAGUUGGAGGUUGCAGUGAGCAGAGAUCAUGCCACUGCACUCCAGCCUGGGUGACAGAGUGAGACUCUGUCUCAA
Molecule: non-coding RNA, 147 nt
Filed under: Pan paniscus (pygmy chimpanzee)
Lineage: Eukaryota; Metazoa; Chordata; Mammalia; Primates; Hominidae
Also listed under: 1 other name
Source: Rfam by way of RNAcentral